This 351-nucleotide ribosomal RNA is filed under the name Triticum aestivum (bread wheat). Its description in RNAcentral is "partial small subunit ribosomal RNA". Lineage: Eukaryota; Viridiplantae; Streptophyta; Magnoliopsida; Poales; Poaceae. The record is from RNAcentral.
AUGGUCGAUGAGAUGUUUUUAUCAAAUGUAGCAGCUUUAGCAGAAAAAAGAGCAGAGCCAGAAGUUGUUGUAGGUGUCAAAAGGACAGCUGUCGAGGAAGAAAAUUUUAGGAUAAUAAAUGAGGCUAAUGACUUUCUUGCUACAUUUGAGAGUCCAAUGAAGAUUAAGAAAAGUAUAGCAAGUAGAGUUAUAGCUAAAAAAAGAAAAGUACCUCUUGCAGCUCCAGUUUCAGCAAUACAUCUUCAGGUGCAGCUCUACCAACUCCAAGUGCAUGUGCUCCUCCACCAACUCCAGGUGCAGCCCAAGGUGCAUCUUCUUCACUUCCAGGCGCAUCGUCUUCAGCUCCAAUAG